RNAcentral lists this ribosomal RNA (972 nucleotides) under Triticum aestivum (bread wheat). Its description in RNAcentral is "partial small subunit ribosomal RNA". The record is from RNAcentral. Lineage: Eukaryota; Viridiplantae; Streptophyta; Magnoliopsida; Poales; Poaceae.
AUGUCACCGAUCAUGGCGGCGCGCGGGCAGGGGCUGGGCCAGGGCCAGGGCCAUCAGGUGCAGCAAGAUUUCGACUUCUUCUUGGUGGUGGACUUCGAGGCGACAUGCGAGAAGGACGCGCGGAUCUACCCGCAAGAGAUCAUCGAGUUCCCGGCCGUGCUCGUCGACGGCGCCACCGGCCUCAUCGCAUCCGCGUUCCGCAGGUACGUUCGCCCCAGACACCGGCCUGUGCUGACCCAGUUUUGCAGGGACCUCACCGGCAUCCGGCAGGAGGACGUAGACGGCGGCGUGGAUCUCGGCGAGGCGCUCUGGCUACACGACGCUUGGCUGAAGGCGGCGACGGCGGGGGCGGGGAACAAGGGACGCGUCCGCUUGGCCGUCGUGACCUGGGGGGACUGGGAUUGCCGCACCAUGCUCGAAUUCGAGUGUCGAUUCAAGGGGAUCGAGAAGCCCUCCUACUUUGAUCGCUGGGUCAACCUGAGGGUCCCCUUCCAGGCGGCGCUCGGCGGCGGAGCGCGGGUCAACCUGCAGGAGGCGGUGCGGGCGGCGGGACUGGACUGGGAGGGCCGCUUGCACUGCGGACUCGACGACGCGCACAACACGGCGCGGCUGCUUGCUGAGAUCAUGCGGCGCGGGGUCAAGAUCACCAUCACCGGCUCGCUGGCGCCGCCGCCGCCGCUGCCGAUCCAGAAGCAGCCGCCUCGCUCAAGCCCUUGCGGUGGCUCAUCGGCGCCGGCGCCUCCGCUGAUCCAGCAGCAGCCGCCUCACACAUGGCCUUGCGGUGGCUCAUCGGCGCCACCGCUUUUGCCGGCGAUUCAGCAGCAGCAGCUGCCGCAGCGUCACAUAAGCCCCUGCGGUGGCUCCUCCGUGACGUGCUUGUGCUACUGCGGGGUGGCGACCAGAGGUGGCGUGGUGCCGGUGCAAGCCAACCGCUUCUUUGGGGGCGGCAACUGGACGCCGGCCAUGGUAUAG